Diabrotica virgifera virgifera (western corn rootworm) is the source of this 1189-nucleotide long non-coding RNA. RefSeq lists it as uncharacterized. The record is from RefSeq and is a predicted model, not a curated record. Lineage: Eukaryota; Metazoa; Arthropoda; Insecta; Coleoptera; Chrysomelidae. The transcript has 2 exons.
UGGUGGAAGUCCCAUGUCCCACAUUACUUUAGUAACUAUAGUAGUUACUAAAGCAAUGUGGGACUUCCCAGUGGUGUCAUGGCAAAAUUAGCAGUGCCGGAACGCACUGCUAAUUUUUGUUUACAAAACCUAAAUUCUCUAUUUAUUUUUUUUCUUUUCUUAACCAGUGUGGGAACGGCGUUCCCACGCGUUCCCACACCAUGACACCACUGGGACUUCCACGUAAACACAGUAAAAAUGGUCUACUAUCGGACUACUUCCAACGUUGCCAAUUUUCUCAUUUCACGGCUUCUUAGCUUUAGGUGGCUGCGCAAGCAUAGACAUAUAAUCGACAUAGGCCGUUCCAAGAUGCUGUCAAAAUUAAAACAAUAUGGCUACUGGAAGGCAAACAUUGAAUAUUAUUCUAUCAGGUUCUUAUGGUUUUAGAUCAUUUUAGUUGUUGUACAAAGAUUAAUUUAACAUUUUCUCUGGAAGUAUUAAUUUAGAAAGAUAAUAUGCCUCAUUGGUGUUGUGUUUUGAAGUGUGAAAUGCAAAGUAAUCGUGAUAAAGUUAGCUUUUACCACUUACCAUCAGUGCUACAUUCUAAGCACAAAACUGAACCAAUUUAACUAAAUAAGUUAUAGUUAUCAUCUGAGAGACAACAACAAUGGUAAAAUGCAAUAAAAUAUAAAGAUUUUACUAGCAAAAUGGAAAUUCCCCUGUAAUCAUCUUACUAUCUGGUAAGUUACAACAUUUGAACAUUAACGAUUUUUGAAGAUGUUAACAGUCUAAUCUUGUAGGAAAACCAGCCGACUUAACUGAUAAUAACAAUCCAGAUUGGGUUCCUUCAAUAAAUAUGGGGUAUAUAAACACAGUGAAAUGAGUUCCCCAAAAUCUAAAAUGGGAAUUAAGGUACCAAAGGAGAAUUAAAAGAAAAGGGUACCUACAAGAAAAAAUUGCUUUUUUUAUUCCUCUUGAAAUGAUUUAUAAGACACUGGACUGUCUUAUAUUCUACAAAUACUAGAAUCAGCUGAGAGAAGUGGUCUACAAAAACCCAGGAAGGAAACGGAAUAUGUGGCUACGAAAGGCAAAAGAAAGGUUUACAAAGCAAAUGUGACACAUUUUUUUGAAAUAUUUAGGAAUAUCAGUAAAUUGCAUUAAAAAAAUGUAUGAAAAGAUUUUGUUCAAUAAAAAUGUUUAUAUUUUUCAA